AUCGUGCUGAAAACUGGAAGUGCUUGUGCUGCUCCUACACCGGCCGCCCCAUCACGUUGGCAAUACUGAUCAAGUUUCACAAAACAUUUGACACCCGUCGUCAUACUUCCUCUGGUCAUUGGCAACAUUGUAAAUUCAUUAGCGAAACAAGAUGACCCGACUCAGCAAGGAAACUCCUUUUGGUAUCUCUUCGAAUGGUCAGACGGGCCAAACCAGUUUUUGAGUGAUUUGUCUUGACCGUCCAAGAAUGUAGGACCGCUGUUAUACCGUGAACGGAGCAUCGAAAAUUGAGCAGCCUGGAGUUAAAAACGAUACCUUUCUGUGAAUUACCAUUCCUCAUCGCGGAAAUAAAGUGAAGACAACUGCUACCUCUGAGAUUGCAACUUGAAUAUUGUCGAAUGUCAUGAUAAAAAGUCCUCAUAGGAUGGUUACUGAUGAGUUGAAAGGAAUCUUCAAACAGCUCUUCAUAUCAUUCAUCGGAAUUUCGUGCAAGAGAAUUAGCAGUCAAAUGAAAUUGGAUUGUUGGAAUAACGUCUCAUGAUAUCCCGGCAACGUCCAAACAGCGAAAUAGGUAGUCAAUUUCUCUUACAAGGCAAUCUCGAUCAAUACCGUUUGGCCACCUAAAGAUAGUUAGGAUGAUGUGGAAUUCUAGACCAAAAUUGCAUAAAAAUUCA
Molecule: long non-coding RNA, 674 nt
Organism: Harmonia axyridis
Lineage: Eukaryota; Metazoa; Arthropoda; Insecta; Coleoptera; Coccinellidae
Exons: 4
Source: RefSeq, a predicted model, not a curated record